Molecule: ribosomal RNA, 508 nt
Filed under: uncultured bacterium
Lineage: Bacteria
Description: partial 16S ribosomal RNA
Rfam family: Bacterial small subunit ribosomal RNA
Source: RNAcentral
GACGAACGCUGGCGGCGUGCCUAAUACAUGCAAGUCGAGCGCAGGAAGUCAUCCGAACCCUUCGGGGGGACGUUGACGGAAUGAGCGGCGGACGGGUGAGUAACACGUAAAGAACCCGCCCUCAGGUCUGGGAUAACCACGAGAAAUCGGGGCUAAUACCGGAUGGGUCAUCGGACCGCAUGGUCCGAGGAUGAAAGGCGCUCCGGCGUCGCCUGGGGAUGGCUUUGCGGUGCAUUAGCUAGUUGGUGGGGUAACGGCCCACCAAGGCGACGAUGCAUAGCCGACCUGAGAGGGUGAUCGGCCACACUGGGACUGAGACACGGCCCAGACUCCUACGGGAGGCAGCAGUAGGGAAUCUUCCACAAUGGACGAAAGUCUGAUGGAGCAACGCCGCGUGAACGAUGAAGGCCCUCGGGUCGUAAAGUUCUGUUGUAAGGGAAGAACAAGUGCCGCAGGCAAUGGCGGCACCUUGACGGUACCUUGCGAGAAAGCCACGGCUAACUACGUG